RNAcentral lists this long non-coding RNA (1563 nucleotides) under Citrus sinensis (sweet orange). RNAcentral describes it as "long non-coding RNA (CSIN_LNC003221)". Lineage: Eukaryota; Viridiplantae; Streptophyta; Magnoliopsida; Sapindales; Rutaceae. The record is from RNAcentral.
UUUAUUGCUACAUAAUAAAUCCAGUAGAUUUAAUGGUGUUUCUUUUCCUUUAUCGAAGCUACCCAUCACAAAAAACAAGUGUUUUCAUCUAACCAAAACACGCACAUACUCCAUCUCUAAAUGCUUUGAAGAUAAAGAAAUCAACCGCAAUCCUGCAACUUUAGCUCGGAGAAUCCGAUAAUAAAAGAACAUGUGAUGAAUCAAGGGUGAUGGCAUCGAGUGAGUGUCACUUGCUGUCGGCGUUAGAGGCGACUGUCGCUCAAUUGCGUACAAGGUUAGUCUUUGAAAAAACUCUUUGCAUGUUAGAAAUCGGUGAUUGGGCAUUAUUUUGUUAUUGAAAAAUGAAAAUGGGUUUAUUAGUUUGUCAAAGGAUCUGCUUUGUUGCUAGUGUUGAUUGCUUUGUUCCGAAAGAUGUUUUGGAGUGAAGCCAAAUGAUGGAGUAGUAUGGAAGCAAAAGCGAAAUAUGUAAGUUUUUCCAAAUUAUUUACGUUUACUUGCAGUUAGAAGUAUAUGUGGGAUUGAGGACAUAUUUGCUUAAAAAAUUUAACUAAUGUUUCAUUCUUCCAUUGUAUUAUCAUUUUACUCAUAUUUUAUUACAAAGAAUAAAAUCAUAUUUUAUUAGUCUACGAGAAAAAUAAGAAUUGUUCCAUUACGUGAUUGUAAAGUGUAACUGUGAUUGAGGAAAUAACAUGCAGUCCGUUAAUCAGAAUUUAUUCAUGUGCAGAAAUACAAUAUUGAUAAGUUUAUAUGCAUUUCUCUCCAGAUUUGGUAUUUUAAUAUUGAAUUGAAAUAGGUUGUUGAACCGUUGCAAUAUCACUAUUAGUUUAUGUUUCCCUACAAGCUUGCUGACUAUCUCUGCCAUUUGUGAGUUCACUUUGGGUGAGUGUCUUGUUUACUGUAGUCUACAUAUAACCAGCUUUUAUCGAUACACAUGUUUGUUGAGUAUCAAGUUGUCUAUGGUAGCUAUAACAGUUCUGCACAGGUGUAUGACGACACUCCACUUAUAUAUGAAAUACAAUAUUGAUAUAUAAGUUUAUUCAUGUGCAGAAAUACAAUAUUGAUAAGUUUAUAUGCAUUUCUCUCCAGAUUUGGUAUUUUAAUAUUGAAUUGAAAUAUGUUGUUGAACCGUUGCAAUAUCACUAUUAGUUUAUGUUUCCCUACAAGCUUGCUAACUAUCUCUGCCAUUUGUGAGUUCACUUUGGGUGAGUGUCUUGUUUACUGUAGUCUACAUAUAACCAGCUUUUAUCGAUACACAUGUUUGUUGAGUAUCAAGUUGUCUAUGGUAGCUAUAACAAUUCUACACAGGUGUAUGACGACACUCCACUUAUAUAUGAAAUACAAUAUUGAUAUAUAAGUUUAUUCAUGUGCAGAAAUACAAUAUUGAUAAGUUUUUAUGCAUUUCUCUCCAAAUUUGGUAUUUUAAUAUUGAAUUGAAAUAUGUUGCUGAACCGUUGCAAUAUCACUAUUAGUUUAUGUUUCCCUACAAGCUUGAUGACUAUCUCUGCCAUUUGUGAGUUCACUUUGGGUGAGUGUCUUGUUUACUGUAGUCUACAUAUAACCAGU